AGGGGAGUCGCCAAGUGGUAAGGCACCGGAUUUUGAUUCCGGUAUACGUAGGUUCGAUCCCUUCCUCCCCUGCCA
RNAcentral lists this transfer RNA (75 nucleotides) under Burkholderiales bacterium. RNAcentral's name for it is "tRNA-Gln". It matches the Rfam family "tRNA". Rfam says of the family: Transfer RNA (tRNA) molecules are approximately 80 nucleotides in length. Their secondary structure includes four short double-helical elements and three loops (D, anti-codon, and T loops). Further hydrogen bonds mediate the characteristic L-shaped molecular structure. tRNAs have two regions of fundamental functional importance: the anti-codon, which is responsible for specific mRNA codon recognition, and the 3' end, to which the tRNAs corresponding amino acid is attached (by aminoacyl-tRNA synthetases). tRNAs cope with the degeneracy of the genetic code in two manners: having more than one tRNA (with a specific anti-codon) for a particular amino acid; and 'wobble' base-pairing, i.e. permitting non-standard base-pairing at the 3rd anti-codon position. The record is from RNAcentral. Lineage: Bacteria; Pseudomonadati; Pseudomonadota; Betaproteobacteria; Burkholderiales. RNAcentral also lists the same sequence under 3 other names.